GCUAGGCAGCAGCGCUCAAGGGGUGCUUUGCUGGGCCGAGGGCUCACCGAGGGAUGAGCCCCAUCCCUCAGCGAGCACUCGCCCCUUGGGAAGUGCCCAUGAGCAUUGCUAGGCAGCAGUGCUCACAUGUGCUUCCCUAAACCACAUUGCCGGGAGGGAUAAUAGGGCCUCCCUAUUAUCCUUCAGUUCUGGUUAUUCGACAUUCGGCCCACCCAUUUAUGUUGAAUAACCAGAACUCUACUUUCCAUACUAUAAUCAGUUAAAACAACAUCCCCCGAUAUAAAAACCCAAUUAUCACAACCAAUAAAACAAUUUAAAAACUUACAGCAAGCACCAUUUGAAAAUACCCAUAACCUCCAGCCACUGAAGUUAUUUGUCAAGUAUUAUCAAAAUAUUUAUCCCCAACAGCCCUGCUCAGAUCUUCCAAACUCAGGUUUAUUGCUUCUCUGAUUGGGUUCAUCCAUCUGGAAAGGGGUAUUCCUCUUUUCCUGCUGCCUUAAAUUAACCAAGCAUUAUUGUCUUUUCUAGUGAGUCAUGCGUUCUCAUGAUGUAUUGGCAAAAUAAAAUAGCCUCUCAUCUUGACUUUAGAGAAAGCUCAGGCUUGAUUUGCUCUAGGGAUUUACAGACCCUUCAACCUUUUACAGAUAAAAAUGGGAAAACAGUGUGGCCAUCUAACAAUGUGUGGUCAAGACAGCACAAUCUAUAUAUAUAAAAGAGUGAUGGCAUCACGGCAAUUCACAAAACAACAAAAGUACAGGCCCCCCAACCUCAAAAUUUGACAACACAACCCAUCAUCCACGCCUCAAGGUUGAUACAACAAAAAGAAAAGAAAAAUAAAGUCCUAAUUAGAGGGAGAGCAAUAAUUUUUUUUAUCCAAUUGCUGCCAGUUUAGAGGGCUAAUCUCUGCCCACUUGGUUGCCUAGCAACCAAGGGACAGCCAGGUUUCAGUUAGGGGACAGGCAGAUUUAGGCCUCACUUAGACUUCUUCCACAGAUUAUCUAAUUUGCACUGGAUUAUAUGGCAGUGUAGACCCAAGGCCCUUCCACACAGCUAUAUCACCCAUUUAUAAUCUUAUAUUAUCUGCUUUGCACUGGAUUAUCUUGACUCCACACUACCAUAUAAUCCACUUCAGUGUGCAUUUUAUACAGCUGUGAAGAAGGGGCCUCAGAUAAUCCAGUUCUGAGCAGAUAAUAUAAGGUUAGAAAUAUACAGUAGAGUCUCACUUAUCCAACGUAAACAGGCCGGCAGGAUAAGUGAAUAUGUUGGAUAAUAAGAAGGGAUUCAGGAAAAGCCAAUUAAACAUCAAAUUAGGUAAUCGUUAUACAAAUUAAGCACCAAAACAUCAUAUUAUACAACAAAUUUGACAGAAAAAGUAGUUCCAUGCGCAGUAAUGCUAUGUAGUAUUUACAGUAGAGUCUCACUUAUCCAACAUUCUGGAUUAUCCAACGCAUUUUUGUAGUCAAUGCUUUCAAUAUAUCGUGAUAUUUUGGUGCUAAAUUCAUAAAUACAGUAAUUACUAUAUAGCAUUACUGUGUACUGAACUACUUUUUCUGACAAAUUUGUUGUCUAACAUGUUUUGGUACAUAAAAUAUCGCAAACAACACCACUCUGAAAACAAGGGAAUUCCAGACAGGAAACAAUCAGGGCCAGCUAACACCUCCCAACAAAAAAUUCACUCAGGGAGGAAACAGCCAGGCUUUAAAGCUGCAAGGCCAUUACAUCCUAAUCAUUUUUCCUAAUUGCAGCAUUCAUACUUGCCUCCAACAAACAAAAAAACCCAAUCAGAAAUAUUGUAUAUUCACAACCUUUAGGAAAUAAUAUCCCCUGAUGGCGCAGCGUGUUAAAGCGCUGAGCUGCUGAACUUCUGGACUGAAAGGCCACAGGUUUGAAUUGGGGGAGUGGAGAGAGCCCCCACUGUUAGCUCCAGCUUCUGUCAACCCAGAAGUUCGAAAACAUGCAAAUGUGAGUGCAUCAAUAGGUACUGCUCCGGCGGGAAGGUAACGCCGCUCCAUGUAGUCAUCCCACAUGACCUUGGAGGCAUCUACGAACAACGCCGGCUUUUCGGCUUAGAAAUGGAGAUGAGCACCAACCUCCAGAGUAAGACACGACUGGACUUAAUGUCUGGGGAAAACCUUUACCCUUGACCUUAACUACCACCAAUUCCUCAAUACUUUAUUUCCCAUACCACCAGACUUCGCCACAGCAACGCGUGGCCGGGCACAGCUAGUUUUAUAUAAAGGAUGUCAAAUUACUACAGCAUUAUAUACAACAGGACUUGAACAUCCAAGGAUUUAGUAAUGGUGGGGACAGGGGCUGGAACCAAACACCAGUGGAUACUAAGAGCCCACUGUAUUUCAGUUUAGCAUUUCUUAAAAACUCAUUAUCUGUUGUGUGGGAUUGGCAACCCUCCCCCUUGUGCCUGGAACCAGCACCACAUUUAAGUUCAUUUGACUAUAGAGGUUCCUUUCUUUCUUGGAAACUCUCCACAGACUGUUGAUGCAUUAUGGGCCAGCACUGGUCCAUCAUUUUGAGUAGUUUUGCAUUAGAUAAGUGAAUUUUUCCUGAGCAUUUUGCAUAACCCAAGGUAUAUGGUAGCAACCAGAUCUGUCCUCCACAGGUAGGGUCACUCUCUGCACAUGACAGCCAAAUGUGUGCAGAGGUACUCCAAGGUACAGCUAUCACCUGAGCAUCCAGGACCAACAGUGUGUAUAGGAGAGUCUUCCCAGCUGUGCCUCUGAUAGCUUGGAGAGGUGGUAGGGUACCUCAUCCAGAAAGAAUAGAGAGUCGUAAUAUGAGGGAUCUUCAAAAAGCUUCUGCCUUUUAAUAUUUUAAUUGUUCAUUUUCCACCCAGAAAAAAAGCCUGGAAGAGUUAAAGUCUGCAAACACUUCUUAGAGGGAGAACACUAACGUCCACUCAUUUUGUGUGUAAUGGUUCGACCUAUCCACAAUGAAACAACGUCUUCAUUUUUAUGGCACCAUUCACUCAUACUUUCACACAAUGAAAUACUGUAAGUCCUUCAGUAUUAUGGCACUAUUUAUUCUUACCAUCUAGAUUGCUGAACACUCCCCACCCUCAUUUUUAAUAACAAUUUCCUUUUUCUUCUCCUGUCCUCUUUGUAAGAUUGCAGACUAGAAUCUGCUGUUCCACAUAGAAAACACAGAGUCUUUGUUCAGGGCAGCAGGACAGUAUCGUACAGCCAGGCUGGCUCCAGAUAGCAAAUUAAUUGUGAACACAACAAAAGGGCAGUGGCGGACCAAAUCUUGGCUGCCAUUUAACUCAGUGGUUAAUUCUGGUCUCACCAAAUAAAAAUGUUUCUGCAAGUGGCACUUUAAAAAUAAUUCCUCAAUAGUUCACAGUGUUGUAACAUGCAAAUACAACAAUAACUGAGAACAAAUUAAUGGCUAUAUCAGGCCUGGACAGUUUGUUCAGUAAUAAAGGGCUAAAAUUAGAUAGGCUAAGCCUCUUGGGGCUGCAAAUAGGUUUUUAGCACCUCGCUUUCCAAGGAAGGUACAAUGAAUGAUUCAUUAGGGUUGUUGUUGUUGUGUGCCUUCAAGUAGUUUCUGAUGUAGGAUGACCCUAAGGCUGCCCUAUCACAGAGUUUUCUUGUUAAGAUUUAUUCAAAGGAGAUUUGCUUUUGUCUUGCUAAAUUUACAGGGUUCAGAGCCAUAAUUCAAAGUUCAAACCACUACACUGUGGGUUGCUGUGAGUUUUCUGGGCUGUAUGGUCCUGACGUUUCGCCUACACCUAUGGCAGGCAUCCUUAGAGGCUGUGAGGUCUGUUGGAAACUAGGCAAGUGGGGUUUAUAUAUCUGUGGAGGAUCCAGGGUGGGAGAAAGAACUCUUGUCUGUUGGAGGCCAGUAUGAAUGUUGCAAUUGGCCACCUUGAUUAGCAUUGAAUAGCCUUUCAGCUUCUAAGUCUGGCUGCUUACUGCCUGGGGGAAUCCUUUGUUGGGAGGUGUUAGCUGGCCCUGAUGGUUUCUUGCCUGGAAUUCUGCAGCUUUUGAGCUUUGUUCUUUUUUUACUGUCCUAAUUUUAGAGCUUUUUAAUACUGGUAGCCAGAUGUUGUUCAUUUUCAUGGUUUCCUCCUUUCUGUUGAAAUUGUCCACAUGCUUGUGGAUUUCAGUGGCUUCUCUGAGUAGUCUGACAUGGUGGUUGUCUGAGUGGUCCAGCAUUUCUGUGUUCUCAAAUAAUAUGUUGUGUCCAGGUUGCUAUAGCUGACUUCUCUGGUUGAGUGUGUCUGCAGUGCCUUUCAUGUUCCUUUAUUUGUGUCUGGGCAAUGCUGCGUUUGGUGGUCCCUAUGAAAAUUUGUCCAC
This is a long non-coding RNA of Anolis carolinensis (green anole), 4313 nucleotides long. Lineage: Eukaryota; Metazoa; Chordata; Lepidosauria; Squamata; Anolidae. The record is from Ensembl.